AGAAAAAAAAAUGCAAUUUCAUUAAAACCAAACUCAGAGAACAUCAGCAAUAACAAAAGCAGAAACAGAGAUAGGAAACUCUUCAAUCCAAAUCUGAAGAUCAUCUCCUUCGUGACUAAGUUUUGCCGAGGAAUUGCCUGUGCUCUUUAUGAAGGACCAAGAGUAGCUGACUAGUUGUCCAGCAAAUACAAAACAAUCUCGUAGCAGCAUCCCUAAAUCAGAGUGAUUCCAGUCUCCACUCUGUAACAGAUCAAUAAUAUCAGACUUCUAGAAUUAUCUUAGAGAAGCUUAAUUAGAUGAAGCGCAAGUUGCAGUCUCGGGAGCCCAUUAACCACAGCUUCUUAGCAGCGUAUGCCAUUAUCUGACCUACGCCUUUCCGAAGAAUAACACCCAAAAAACUUCCGGAGAGACCGGUGAACCAGCAUUAGUGUUUAUCUUUUUUAAGCCUGGAGGGCAGGGGCCAUAUAUCAAACAUGUGGCAGGCACGAUGGGGGAUGGGGGAAGUCCAAAUUUUCAUAGUUAUGGACCUGUUCAUAGUCGGCCAGAAAAACACCAGCUUUACUAACCACCUUCUGAGCUCCACCAGCGUCCUUCAAAAUCAACAAAAUUCUGCCCAUUCAAAUAAUAACACAAUGAAGCAAGUGUUAAAUUUGGAUAAGUAGCGAGAAGUAUUUAAUAAGGGGCACUUAUCUCAAACCAUUGUGGAUUCAACACACUCUUCUUAGGGUCCGUUUACACUGGAGCAUGACAUUUAUGAAAUAUCCAAUAUUAGUGAGAGACUCGGAUACUAUGUCAUUGUGAAUCAUACCUAGGAAGAAGUGCUUAAACUCC
This 831-nucleotide long non-coding RNA is filed under the name Manihot esculenta (cassava). RNAcentral's name for it is "long non-coding RNA (MESC_LNC002854)". The record is from RNAcentral. Lineage: Eukaryota; Viridiplantae; Streptophyta; Magnoliopsida; Malpighiales; Euphorbiaceae.